UGGGGAAUAUUGCACAAUGGGCGCAAGCCUGAUGCAGCCAUGCCGCGUGUGUGAAGAAGGCCUUCGGGUUGUAAAGCACUUUCAGCGAGGAGGAAGGUGGUGGACUUAAUACGUUCAUCAAUUGACGUUACUCGCGGAAGAAGCACCGGCUAACUCCGUGCCAGCAGCCGCGGUAAUACGGAGGGUGCAAGCGUUAAUCGGAAUUACUGGGCGUAAAGCGCACGCAGGCGGUUUGUUAAGUCAGAUGUGAAAUCCCCGGGCUCAACCUGGGAACUGCAUUUGAAACUGGCAAGCUAGAGUCUCGUAGAGGGGGGUAGAAUUCCAGGUGUAGCGGUGAAAUGCGUAGAGAUCUGGAGGAAUACCGGUGGCGAAGGCGGCCCCCUGGACGAAGACUGACGCUCAGGUGCGAAAGCGUGGGGAGCAAACAGGAUUAGAUACCCCUGGUAGUCCACGCUGUAAAACGAUGUCGAUUUGGAGGUUGUGCCCUUGAGGCGUGGCUUCCGGAGCUAACGCGUUAAAUCGACCGCCUGGGGGAGUACGGCCGCAAGGUUAAAACUUAAAUGAA
Molecule: ribosomal RNA, 565 nt
Filed under: uncultured bacterium
Lineage: Bacteria
Description: partial 16S ribosomal RNA
Rfam family: Bacterial small subunit ribosomal RNA
Source: RNAcentral